GUCCUAUAAAGAUGUAUCAGCGCAAGCCAGCGGAGCAUCUCCCUGUAGGACGAAGUUUAUCAGAAGCUCUGACAACAAUUUUCAUUGUGUAGCUUCGGUUGAAAUGAGAUGAGUCAGAGUGGAAUAGGUUAACCGUAAGACCUUGGGUUGGAAAACUCUAAAAUUGACCUAGAGAUACGGAUUUAUUAAUUCUCGUAUUUUCUAGUUACGGUUUA
RNAcentral lists this non-coding RNA (215 nucleotides) under unclassified sequences. Its description in RNAcentral is "IS605-orfB-I RNA". It matches the Rfam family "IS605-orfB-I RNA". The record is from Rfam by way of RNAcentral.